Molecule: ribosomal RNA, 247 nt
Filed under: Clostridioides difficile
Lineage: Bacteria; Bacillati; Bacillota; Clostridia; Peptostreptococcales; Peptostreptococcaceae
Description: partial 23S ribosomal RNA
Rfam family: Bacterial large subunit ribosomal RNA
Source: RNAcentral
GAAAAGUCUCUAUCGAGGUUAAAGGUACCCGUACCGCAAACCGACACAGGUGGGUGAGGAGAGUAUCCUAAGGCCCGCGAGAGAACUGUUGUUAAGGAACUCGGCAAAAUGACCCCGUAACUUAGGGCUAAGGGGUGCCACCAUCCGGUGGCCGCAGAGAAUAGGCCCAAGCGACUGUUUACCAAAAACAUAGGUUUCUGCUAAGUCGCAAGACGAUGUAUAGGAGCUGACGCCUGCCCGGUGCUGG